This 497-nucleotide ribosomal RNA is filed under the name uncultured bacterium. RNAcentral's name for it is "partial 16S ribosomal RNA". It matches the Rfam family "Bacterial small subunit ribosomal RNA", at positions 28 to 507 of the family's 1533-position model. The record is from RNAcentral.
GAUGAACGCUGGCGGCGUGCCUAAUACAUGCAAGUCGAGCGAACAGACGAGGAUCUUGCUCCUCUGACGUUAGCGGCGGACGGGUGAGUAACACGUGGAUAACCUACCUAUAAGACUGGGAUAACUUCGGGAAACCGGAGCUAAUACCGGAUAAUAUAUUGAACCGCAUGGUUCAAUAGUGAAAGACGGUUUUGCUGUCACUUAUAGAUGGAUCCGCGCCGCAUUAGCUAGUUGGUAAGGUAACGGAUUACCAAGGCAACGAUGCGUAGCCGACCUGAGAGGGUGAUCGGCCACACUGGAACUGAGACACGGUCCAGACUCCUACGGGAGGCAGCAGUAGGGAAUCUUGCGCAAUGGGCGAAAGCUUGACGGAGCAACGCCGCGUGAGUGAUGAAGGUCUUCGGAUCGUAAAACUCUGUUAUUAGGGAAGAACAAAUGUGUAAGUAACUAUGCACGUCUUGACGGUACCUAAUCAGAAAGCCACGGCUAACUACGUG